ACGGCCACCGUCAACAUCAACCUCUCGCCUUUGGACAAGAACGUCAUGUCCGUGCCAGCGGCGGUGUUCAUGGUGUUCGACGGUCGGAUCCCCGAACCUGCCGCGACCAUAGAGAGGGCUCUGUCCCAAGCUCUAGCCCACUACUCCCCAGUCUCAGGCCGCCUCGCUGCCGGAGCCGAGCAGGGCGAGUUCCACAUCAGGUGCACCGGCGAGGGCGUCCCGUUCGUGGCCGCGGCCGCGGACUGCGCUCUCAAGGACGCCGAGUUCUUCGGCCGGUCGGUGGCCGGCGCGCUGCUGGAGGAGCUGGCCAUCUACUACCCGGCCGAGCACUGCGGUUUCGGUGACCCUCUGCUCAUGAUGCAGGUCACCGAGUUCUCCUGCGGCGGCUUCGUCGUCGGGGUAACGUGGAACCACGUCGUCGCCGACGCGGCCGGGAUCGGCCAGUUCCUGCAGGCCGUCGGCGAGCUCGCGCGCGGGCUGCCGUCGCCGUCCGUGGCCCCGGUGAGGUGGGACGACGCGCUGACGGCGGUGCCUCCGCCCGCCGACGGCUUCGUGGAGCUGAUGAUGACGCUCCAGCCGGCCGACAUGGCCGCGCUCGACGUCACCGUGCCAUGGGGCCUAAUCGACCGCAUCAAGGAGAGCUCCAACGCCAGCGGAUCAUCAAGGUCAAGGCCGCCGUGCACGACGUUCGAGGCGGUGACCGCGCUGCUGUGGCAGUGCCGCACCCGCGCGGUGGGGCUGUCGUCCAGCCCGGAGGAGCCCGUGGCGCUCUACUUCGCGGUGAACGCGCGCGUCUUUGUUUUUCGAUUCCAUCCACGGAAUUAA
Molecule: ribosomal RNA, 825 nt
Filed under: Triticum aestivum (bread wheat)
Lineage: Eukaryota; Viridiplantae; Streptophyta; Magnoliopsida; Poales; Poaceae
Description: partial small subunit ribosomal RNA
Source: RNAcentral